This 74-nucleotide transfer RNA is filed under the name Acetilactobacillus jinshanensis. It matches the Rfam family "tRNA". Rfam says of the family: Transfer RNA (tRNA) molecules are approximately 80 nucleotides in length. Their secondary structure includes four short double-helical elements and three loops (D, anti-codon, and T loops). Further hydrogen bonds mediate the characteristic L-shaped molecular structure. tRNAs have two regions of fundamental functional importance: the anti-codon, which is responsible for specific mRNA codon recognition, and the 3' end, to which the tRNAs corresponding amino acid is attached (by aminoacyl-tRNA synthetases). tRNAs cope with the degeneracy of the genetic code in two manners: having more than one tRNA (with a specific anti-codon) for a particular amino acid; and 'wobble' base-pairing, i.e. permitting non-standard base-pairing at the 3rd anti-codon position. RNAcentral also lists the same sequence under 1 other name. The record is from Rfam by way of RNAcentral. Lineage: Bacteria; Bacillati; Bacillota; Bacilli; Lactobacillales; Lactobacillaceae.
GGGCUGUUAGCUCAGCUGGCUAGAGCAUCUGACUCUUAAUCAGAGGGUCGAGGGUUCGAACCCCUCACAGCCCA